AUUCAGCUGACGAGUCCCAAAUAGAACGAAACGCGCGUCAAACUGGUAU
RNAcentral lists this non-coding RNA (49 nucleotides) under Schistosoma margrebowiei. Lineage: Eukaryota; Metazoa; Platyhelminthes; Trematoda; Strigeidida; Schistosomatidae. The record is from RNAcentral.